This is a long non-coding RNA of Ailuropoda melanoleuca (giant panda), 9500 nucleotides long. RefSeq lists it as uncharacterized. The transcript has 5 exons. The record is from RefSeq and is a predicted model, not a curated record. Lineage: Eukaryota; Metazoa; Chordata; Mammalia; Carnivora; Ursidae.
CAAUCCAUAGCCGCACAGACUUUUAGCCUGAUUUCCCACCUCCUGCCCCCUCCCGGGUUCCUGCUGAACUUCAGGGGUGCCUUCUCACACACUGAUCAUUAUUCGCAUUUUUCUCAUUAACAAUUCCUUUGUACAACUUUUUUCUUCUGGAUUUUUCUUCUAGAUCCAGCAUAAAUAUUCUUUUCAGUGAAGCCUCCAACUCCCCUUUGCAGAGUUAAGCACGACCCUCCCUGCUCCCACCACUGUGCCUCUAGAACAGCAUUACGGUCUAUGUUUCCACCAAAGAAACAGCAAACCCAUCUCAGGCUGAGUUUCUGAUUUUCAUCAGCUCAGCUCUUGUUUAAUUAAUUUGUGCUUUAGGUAUUAGCAUUUAUGUUCCGCUUACUAAAGGCAAAGUGCUAUGCUAAACAUCGUAAAGCAUCAAGGGAAAUGGUGAUGACAUUAAUCAGCUCUUGGAAAUCAUAAUGGAAUAAAGUUAAUAGAACAAUCAUAUACUUAUACUAAACAAAAGCACCCCUAGAAAAAAAGGAAAAGUCUCUAAGAGAAGCCACAUGAGAAUAGUCUCGGUUGACUAGAGCACAGGAGGCCAGAGGCUCAGUGUCCUUGCAAGUCUCUCUGAAGCAAGUUUCAUCAUCCCCCAAUCCAGCCUUCAUACUGACAUCAGAGCCUCCUUUAAAAAUGCAAAUGUGAUUGUCAUUCUGCCACUGAAAAUUGUUCAGCGCUUCCUCAUUCAACCGAGGAAUGUAGUCAAAACACUAAAGAGACACCUAGAACUUGGGACUGUCUGGUUUCUACCUAGUAUUUAGCCUUACCUCCCCCUCUCCUCUCCCAUCACACUCCUAUCCUUCCUGCAGUCUGCAUUCAGCUCCCCAGUCUGCAUUAUUCUAUCUCACAACUCCUUUAUAUUUGCCUUUAUAUUUACCGGUCACUCCAUCAGCAAUGCCCUCCUCAUGACUGUCCUAUUGACCAUAAAACAUCUCUUCCUUGGGAGUCCUAGAAACAUCACCUUCUCUGUUACGUACCUUCCUCACUUCUUGAGUCAGAUUGAGGAGUUCAUUCCUCUCUAUUAUUUGCAUUAUACCGUAAUUAUAACUUUUAUUACAAUACAUUCCCUAUACUCCUAGAAACAGACCUGGCACACAAUUGGUAAUAAUUCUUUUUGAGAAGAGUUUGAAAGAGUGUUUUAAAUUAGUGACAUGAUUUGGGAAGGAAAAUAGAGCAUUCUAGCUUCAGUCUGUUCCCAUGGUGUCAGAGGGUAUGAAUGAGUAAGCCUAAUAGCUUUUGUCACUACCAUGGACUCUUGGGGGUAAAACAGGCAUCUCGCACUGUCUGAGCCUGCACCUACACAAAGGAACUUAUCACUCUGAACACAUACAUAUUGGCACUUAAAACUUCAUUUGGUGGGACGGGGGGGGGUAACCGCAAUGAGAGACACCUGGGAGCCCUGGUUCCUGGAAGAAACCAGGUACCCAUAAGGCAGCAAGUCCCAGUGGGAUCCACUGUCACCAAAUUUGAGCUGCUGCCUCAGGGUAAUCUUCCAGGCGUGAGCUCCCUCCACACUAGAUGCAAUGUAGGUGGUCGGGUCUGGACCGUAGGUACACAGGCGAGGAGGGGCCACGCUGCCCAAGGCAUCUAAAGAGGUAUAGACAGCGUGCUCCUGCCAGCACUUAAGGGUAGCGAGAGAUCUGGAACAGGACCUAAGUCUGCAAAGACCAGUUCAGAGGAGCAGCUCUUAGGGGGACAAGACCUACACCUAACUGCACGUCCUAACCUACUAAAUCGGGAGUAUUCCCACUGAAGGCAGAGCUCCAGGUGACUCUGCCUUGCCAGGGAGCGGCUAGGAAGGGUGGGCUAAAUGCUCUAAUAAGAGACACCCGGGAGCGCUGGUGGUUGGCGAAUCCCGGGACCCCCUCAGGCAGCAACCCACUACGGGGGCUAUCUGUCCCCAGUGUGCAGCUGCAGCCUCAUAGACCUACUUGGGAGGGGGAUCUCUCCACCCUCCAGGCUCUGCAGGGCGUUGAGGCCUGGCACAGGACACCCAAGACCUGGGGGAGGGAUGCGUGCUGCCCAUGUGCGUGCGGAGCAGUUCAGGUUCGCCGGGGACUUGGAUCAGGGAGGCCAGAGCAAGCGACAGGAAGGGCCAGGUCCCAGAAGCAGGACCAUACGCUCAAUUCCAAGCCCCAACCUCCACAAAUGCCCAUGUUCCAUGAAGGCAGAGCUCAGAGAAGCCCAGAUUGCUUGGCAAGGGGUGGGCCAGGCAGACUGGGUGGGACAGCCUCUAAGAAAGCCUGUCUGGACGCCAUGGUAGCUGCAAAACCAGGCAAGGCCACACGGGGGCUCACAGGGGCUCCCGUGGAGCUGCGGCCUCAGGUGAUUUUGGGUGUGGGCGCCCCAGUACUGGAGCCUACGAGGGUUGUUAGGGACAGGCCCUCACUGCCCCAGGCUGGCUGACUAGCUGUGAACCACAUUGUGCUUGCAACACAGUUCAGGGAAACCAGCAAUCCAAACCAGGGCACUGGUCUUUAGAAGCUGGCUCACAGGACGAGGAUCUUGAGGACACAAGAAACCUACCCCUUUCCAAGCACUAAUCUACACAAACGCACAUAUUCCCCCUGAAGGCAGAACUGGAGGUUACUGGCCAGCCUUGUCAGCCAGGGCCAGACUGGCCAGGGUAUCUAUCACCUAAUAAGAGAAGCCUGGGAGUCUUGGUUGCUGGAAAAACCCAGAACCUCUAUAGGCAGCUAGUCCGAAUAGGGAGCGACUGUCGCCAAUGUGCAUCUGUGGCCUCAGGGUGAUUUUUCGGGGGUGGGAUCCCCCCAUACUGGACCUACUGCAGGUCACAUGGGACUGGCUCCGGCUACACAGGCCUGGCUGAAGGGGAUGAACAGCACAUGAGCGUGCAGCACAGUUCAGGGUAGCAAGGGACCUCCAGGAGCACGAGAAUUCUGAGAGGCUGGGUUUGUGAAGGGGUUCUUGGAGACAAGGCAUAGGUGUACUUGCAACCACUAACCACUAAAUGGAAAAUAUGCCCCCUAAAUGCAGACCUUGAAGUUCCUUAACAACCUGGUCGGGGUGGGCUGGGAGGCUGCCGUGGUAUCCACCUCUGAAGGACCCCUGGGAGCCUUGUUUGCUGGAGACGCCCAGCACCAUGUCAGGCAGCCAGUCCAAAUGGGAACUAACUGAUACCCGUUAAGCAGCUGUCUCAAAAUGAUUUUGCAGGACAGGGCACUCUCCAGUUUGAAGGCUGUGUUUGAAGGUUUUGGGGACUGGCCUACCCAAUAGGCAUGAAGGGUGCCAGCAGCCAAAGUCCAGAUGAGGACGGCACAGGCUGCCCAAGCUGGGGCGGUGCAGGCCAGGAAAGCUGCAACAGAGCUGCCACAGCGGGAUGCUGGGGUACAGGAGCGGGCUGCUGGCGUACUUGGCAUCUGCCGCAUUUCCAGCCCCAACCCGCACCAACAUGCUUCUUCCCCCUGAAGGCAGAGACGGAGGAGCCUGCCAGGCCCACUGGCUGGAGAAUGCUCCAAUUACACAAACCUUGGAGCUUCAGUUGCUGGAGAAGUUGGGGACCCAUCGGGCAGCCAGUCCACGUGUGCAUGGAUUACCCUCAAUGUACAGCUGCCUUCUCAGCAAGAAUCUGAGGGCAGGAUCCCUUCCCCCAGGAGGCCGUGCAGGUGGUUCGGGAUCUGCCCAAACCCCAUAGGCUUUCCAGCCACCCUUGGCUGGCUGAUGGGGUCUGUACUUCACAUCUCCAGGCCCGCAGGUCAGUGUUGCCAGGAACCUAAAAUAGGGCAAGUGUCUAAAUAGAGUGGGUCCUGGCAGCAGACUGUUGGGAGUACAAGGCAAUCGCCCAAUUCCAAGCCCCAGCCUACACAAAGUCUGCACUGCCUGGCCUGGACAGCGCCUGGUGGGCACAAGGUGUCCCUCACUGAGACACUUGGGAGACCGGAUUACUGGUAAGCCCCAGAACCCCAUGAGGUUCCCAUCAGGCAGUCAGUCUGCAGGGGGACUGACAGUCUUGUUUCCAAUGGAGCCUCAAAUAUUUUACCCGUGUGGGUUCCCUCCUCUUGAUAACUUUCAGGUGGUUGGGUAUCAGCCCCAGCUAUGCGUGUGUGGAGCGCCCUCUGCAGGCCGAAGCCGGCGGACAGGGUGAGGAAUGCGCAUGUGCAGGCUGCGCAGGGGAGCGUAGCCGGGGAUCUGAAAGAAAAUAGCGGAAGGGAGAGUCCGAUCGCAGGAGUGAGCUGUUUCGGGUACGUGCCAUCUAUACCAUUCCAGGCCUCAUCCUACAAAAAUGCACAUAUUCCCUCCGAAGGCAGAGCCAGAGGACAUCACACUGCCUUGCCAUCCUCUGGCCCAGCGGACUGGCUGGAGUGUCCUCCUAUGGGAUCUGAGUAGGAGCCUUGAUCUUUGUAGAAGCUAGGGACCCCCUCAUUAUGCCAGUCUAAAUUUGGACUAUCACUAUUUUAAAGCUACUUCCUCAGAUUUUCGGGGGUGAGCUCCAUUGCCUGUCCAAGUAUUUGGGGACAGGAAAGAACCCCACAGGCCUGAAGGAUCCCAUCCGCCCAAGGCUGGCUACUUACGCCUACUUACGCCUGCGUGUGCUGCACAGGUCAGAGCUAGGGACCUGUGCAGGUAAAGCGUCUGGAGCAGCCUGGUCCUAGGAGCAGGGUGAGGGGGGAUAAGCCAUCUGCCUCACGCCAAGCCCUAAUCUGCACAAAUGCGUCUGUUCCCACUAAAGGUAAAGCUGGAGGUGUAUGGACUGCCUGACCAAGACAGGACCGCCAGGCUGCUGGGAUACCCCACACUGAGACAUCGGGGAGCCUACAUUACUGUUGCUGUAGUUGGCAAGAUAAACUUCCCUGGCUGGACACUGCUGCAACAGAGAUCUUGGGAUAUCUGACAAAAGCCAGCAGAAGGAUAUAGUUGGAAACACUGGUUAUAUUACCAAGGCUUUGACUGGAAUGCCGUAUUUAAGAGAAACAUCCCUGGACUCAGAUAUGACCAGACCGCUUCAAGGAACUAGGAUUGACCUUAUGGAGCCAAAUAAAGCCCCUGGAAAAACAUCCUAAUAUCUUGCUUACAGGGUUCCCAGAAGCCUUACCAGCUCUGCAAACUCAAUGUGAAUGACUUCAUGUAAACUUCAAGAAAAUCACCACAACAGCUCAUAUAGAGACAGUCUUCAUGCCUGCUGGUCUUUGGCCAUUCCAGAAGAUUGCUGGAGACAUUCAGGCUGUAAACCAGAAAAAUCUGUCAGAUUCUCACUGCCUACUCUCUUUCUGAAGAUGCUUUGAAGCUGACAUCUAUGCAGGUGUUUGUCCACAGGCCUGGAGGGCCACGGCUGCCCACGGCUGGCAAACUAGGUAGAACUCGAGAAAUCUGGACGGCUUUACCAUGGCUGGAUUGGGAAGGCUGGCCCAAGCAUCCCCCCAAAGGGACACCUAGGAGUCUCGAUUAUUGCAGAAGCCCAGGAUCUGCCCCAAAUUGUAAGUACCUGUGGAGGCUGACUGUCACUCAUUUCAGUGGUUCCCUCAGAGUGAUUUUUGGAAAGUGGGCUUCCUCCACCAUUGAGGCAAUGCAGGUGGUUAGAGAUGGACCCUAGUUUCACAGGCCUGGACAGCCGCAGAGGGCCAAGAGCAGUCGGUAGGUUCUAGCUGCUCAUGCCCAGCACUGGAGGUCAGGGUAGCCAGGGACCCAGAACAGGGCAAUGGCAGGCCAGACCAGGUCAUGGAGCGGGCUGUUCACAGUAACUGGAGUCUGCCUAAUUCUAAGUCCAGCUGUCAGUGCCGGCGUGUGAGGCUCCUGUUGCUAGAGCGCGUAGCUGAGGCACGACAGUGCUGGUGUAGACAGACGAGAUGACCGUCUUCAGGGGCGACUGCAUAUCUCUUGCCACUGCAGGUAAGAGAGUCGCCUUGACCACAGGACCUAAUUGCCCCCUGGUCUUCCAGGGAGCUCUCUCAGAUGGGAGAAGCAGAGCCUUGCACAGAGCGAGCGCUCUCUCCUCAUCCUCAGAAACUCUUACCUGCAGUCGGAUGGCCCCGGCGCGGUUGUUCUUCAUAGGUUUUUUAUUAACCAGCCCCCAGCAGGGCCCCUCAUGAGCUGAGCUACGGAGUUCUUAGGGGUGAGAACAGAGGAGAUGACAUCCUCACACAGCUUACUUCAUUCUUGUAUCAAAACAACUUGAACCAACAUUAUUUUUUUUUUGGUCUUUGCCAUAAACAAGUGGAUUUGAAAUCAUAUUAAACCAAUACAUGAUAUGCACCCUGUGAUUUCAGAUCUUUCCCAUAUUAAUUAAUACUAAGGGCCUAAUGCCCAGUAGAAAUCUUAGUUCACAAAAAUAUUCCACCUCGUGAUUCUACAUCACUUAACAGUCUUAAUCACAAACACUCAUCUUUUGGGACUAUUUUUUGCUCAACGCACAUUCUUUUAGACCACAGUUUAAUGACCAGUUUAAGUAACCAUAUUCCCAGUAUUACAACAAAGAAGUCUUUAACAUGGUAGCCUAUCCAAUUGCCAAAUGACCAAAACUUAACCUCCUUAAGCCACUCUGUUUAACUUUCUUGACAAACAUGUUUCUAAAUAAAGAUCACUUUUAUAAAGCUUCGGGGGUGCAAGCUUGCAUAAAACCCUAUCAAGUAUGUGCCAGUUGCCAUAACACCAGAAUUCAAGGCAAUCAUCAUGUUAGGGAAUGUGUGUUUCUGUUCUCUUUUCAAUUCCUGCCACGUUAUUUUGACUUUAUUAGUCUCAUCUUCCAAGUGCGUCUUAAGUUUUCUAAUACAGGAUUUAUAUUUAUUAGAUUACAUUUAUUAGAUUUUAGGAGGUUCAGUGUGAAAUAUUUCUCUGGUUAUUUUCAUAGUUCCUUUAUCUUCCAUUGACUACAAACAACAUCUUUUUUCUUCUAUGGUCAGAUUCGCUACCUAUUCUAGUUUUGUGUACCUUGUUUUUCCCUUGACUCCAAUAGGCUGAGAGCAAAUAUUCUGAUCCAGCUUCCUCCUGGUUGAGGAGGCGUCAGGGCCAUGGUCAUAGGUACCUGUACCGUAGGUCUGUCCACAUCCACAGUCCAGUGGUAAUAAAGGUGUUCUGAUUCUGUUCCAACCACACAUCCUUAGGAACACGUUUUCCUUCUAUCAUAAAGGGGUUUUCUGUGGCCUCGACUCUCCCUUUUGAUAUUGCAGAACCUCGAAAGUGUGAUAACCCGUGUCAUAGUUCCCCCUUUAAGUGCCAGUAUUCAUCUUACAGUUGCCCAAGGAAUCACAGCCAUUAGGAUGUGUGGUAUCUGAUUUCUGCUUGUGUUCUCUCAGAAGACCAGCAUUGCCCUAAGAUUUUUGCUGUUCUGAGUAUUCCCCACAUCAGCCAAAUCUUAACUGCAACAUUAACAGCCUACAGUUUUAGAGAAACAUCUUUAAAAUCCUUUCUUACUAUUUCAUUAUUUUUAGUGUUUUCUCCAACUGCUUUAUGUCAAAUUCCUACUGCUCUGUUUGCUUCAGUGUGAAAUUCAUUUAUAUUGCCUGGCAUAUCCAUCUAUGCACCCAACUGUGACAAAGCUGUCAUUGCACGUGUGUUAAACUGAGGUUGGUUUCAAUUUUUUUUUAAAUUUAUUUGAUCAAUUUGGAAUUGCAAAAAAGUGGCUGCCAUUGUUCCUCCAAUGGAACCCCUACCAAUCUAACAUGAGCUGUAAGGUUUUUUUCCUUCUUUUUAGGGAAUCUGUUUUUGGUAUAGGUUGUAAUUGGGCAUAAAUGAAGGUGGAUAAAACUGAGCACAGUUUGGGGAUCUGUAUCAGAAUUGAAGGUCCUGUAUAUUAAAUUUCAAGGUAUUGGCUACUAUUAUGACCAGGAGAAGUUUUACUAACAAAAAUGUUCCCAUAUUCUUAGGGUAGAAUUCUGUGAUAUGAGAUAGAAGCCUGAAGUCUAUACCAUGAAAGAUAAUGAAAUGUAAUAUAUGCUACGUUUCCUAUGAGUCCUCUUUACCCCUUACAAGGUGUCCCUCUUCUUUUAAAGUCUGGGCAUAGAGGCCGUGGUUUUCUAAUAGGUCGCUGUGGAUUAAAUAGUGUAAGUUGGGAGUAUAGUAAAUAAUCAUUUUUUGCUUAUUGAAAGACAUAAUUGCCCAUUCUGUGUAUUCAGCAGCUCCUUUUUUUUUUUACAAAAUGUUAGAUCAGGAACUAAAGUAGGGUUAUUUUAACAGAGUCUCUGCCACGUGUCCAGUGCUACACUCAGUUCAGUAAGAUAACAGGGCAAGAGCCAGUACCUGGUCUUGUAUUUAGUAGCAUUUAGUAGUUCAGACCAGUCAUCACCUCCCACAUCAGUGUCUGGUGGGCAUGUCGUUCAGGAUCCUCGUUACUUCUUGCAGAGAUUGAAGUGCAGGGUUCCACUUCUUCGGCUCCCCUAAGUCUUUGGUCUCUCCAUUGGUUGAAGGGUUCUCAUGGAAUGGUGGCUAGUGAAGGGUGUGGUGAGGGUUGGGCUGGAGUAUCCUGGUGAUGACGUUGCUGGUGAGUCCUCAGUGGCCAGAAGGUGAUCAGGAUGGAGGAAGUAGAGGACGUCACGGACAGUGGAGUCAUACCUGGAUCAGAAGGUGACAUUCCACCUCGGAAUGGCGGCACGGCUGCUACUGCUGAAGCUGUCACAAGUACUCUUAGCUGCAGUGAGUAUGGUAUCCAGCAGUGAGCAGUAGGCAAACCAGAAUAGCCAGCAGGCAGCAGGCUGGACUCACCAGCUUACUAGUCUUGGCAGGGUUAAAUAUGCAGAGCAGAUUCAGGCCUGCAAAAUAGAGAGAGUGUCCUAUAAAUAUUCCUUUCUUGUUGCUUUUUCUAUUCUAAGAUAUCUAUAAUUAUUAUGGACAUUAUUGCCAAUAUUUCCCCAAGCAUAAUAGCCCUGAGUCAAGCUAGACUAAAUAUUAGGCAUCUAGUGUUGAUACAAUAAAAGUUGGAGUUCUUCAUGCCUGAAAUUUGUAUAAAGGCACCUUAUUUUCUUUAACUUGAUGUAAUAUGCUUUUUCCUUCAGUUACCCAGUAGGUUUUAUUAGUAACAGGUGCUAUGAUUCCCCCAAACUGUAUGUAUCAUUUUUUAAAUUAAUACUUUCCCUUUAAAUUUCUUUUCUGGACUGUUGUUAGUGCUGAAUAGUGCUUAUUUCUGUGAGUGCCUGAAAUAUGAAUGCGAUAGUUUUUCCAGCCUUUCCAUAUCCAUGGCUUAGAUAUUUUGGUUUAGUCCAAGCUUUCAUAUCUGGAUUGUUAGUGAGCAGCCUAAGCUUUUGCUUGAGAGAGCCAUUACACCUUUCAGUGAAUCUAGAGGCAGUGGGGUUAUAGGGUAAAUAGAAGCUCUACAUGAUGCCUUCUUAGCUUUUGUAUGAACUGGGUACCCUAAUCUAAUUUUAUGGUGGUUAGGAUACCAUAGCCAGCAAUCUAGGUGUCUAAUGCUCUGACGGUUCACUUUUGAUCAUUGUUCCUACAAGUAUUGGGUAAUCCUGUUCCUGACCAUGUGCCUACAGUUGUGCGUGCAUACAGUUAAUUAUCUG